CAAGGCCGAGUGAUGAGCAAAAAUGCAUAGUUCAGAUGAUCAAACCCAAGUGGUUAUGAUUACUUUGAAUAAAUAGUCUUUCGCUCCUAACUGACGACCUUU
Molecule: non-coding RNA, 102 nt
Organism: Oryza punctata
Lineage: Eukaryota; Viridiplantae; Streptophyta; Magnoliopsida; Poales; Poaceae
Source: Rfam